Molecule: ribosomal RNA, 468 nt
Filed under: uncultured bacterium
Lineage: Bacteria
Description: partial 16S ribosomal RNA
Rfam family: Bacterial small subunit ribosomal RNA
Source: RNAcentral
GACGAACGCUGGCGGCGUGCUUAACACAUGCCAGUCGAACGGAAAGGCCCUGCUUUUGUGGGGUUCUCGAGUGGCGAACGGGUGAGUAACACGUGAGUAACCUGCCCUUGACUUUGGGAUAACUUCAGGAAACUGGGGCUAAUACCGGAUAGGAUCUCCUGCUGCAUGGUGGGGGUUGGAAAGUUUCGGCGGUUGGGGAUGGACUCGCGGCUUAUCAGCUUGUUGGUGGGGUAGUGGCUUACCAAGGCUUUGACGGGUAGCCGGCCUGAGAGGGUGACCGGCCACAUUGGGACUGAGAUACGGCCCAGACGCCUACGGGAGGCAGCAGUGGGGAAUAUUGCACAAUGGGCGGAAGCCUGAUGCAGCAACGCCGCGUGCGGGAUGACGGCCUUCGGGUUGUAAACCGCUUUCGCCUGUGACGAAGCGUGAGUGACGGUAAUGGGUAAAGAAGCACCGGCUAACUACGUG